RNAcentral lists this ribosomal RNA (491 nucleotides) under uncultured Acholeplasma sp. Its description in RNAcentral is "bacterial SSU rRNA". It matches the Rfam family "Bacterial small subunit ribosomal RNA", at positions 903 to 1382 of the family's 1533-position model. Lineage: Bacteria; Bacillati; Mycoplasmatota; Mollicutes; Acholeplasmatales; Acholeplasmataceae. The record is from RNAcentral.
GCCCGCUCAGAACGACAAAGGAAUUGACGGGACCCCGCACAAGCGGUGGAUCAUGUUUGUUUAAUUCGAUGAUACGCGAAGAACCUUACCAGGUCUUGACAUCCCCCGCGAUGCUUUAGAGAUAAAGCGGAGGUAUUCGGGGAGACAGGUGGUGCAUGGUUGUCGUCAGCUCGUGUCGUGAGAUGUUGGGUUAAGUCCCGCAACGAGCGCAACCCCUAUUGCUAGUUACCAUCAUUAAGUUGGGGACUCUAGCGAGACUGCCAGUGAUGAACUGGAGGAAGGUGGGGAUGACGUCAAAUCAUCAUGCCCCUUAUGACCUGGGCUACAAACGUGAUACAAUGGUCGGUACAAAGGGUUGCCAAGCCGCGAGGUGGAGCUAAUCCCAUAAAACCGAUCGUAGUCCGGAUCGCAGUCUGCAACUCGACUGCGUGAAGUCGGAAUCGCUAGUAAUCGUGAAUCAGAAUGUCACGGUGAAUACGUUCCCGGGCCUU